RNAcentral lists this ribosomal RNA (405 nucleotides) under uncultured cyanobacterium. RNAcentral's name for it is "bacterial SSU rRNA". It matches the Rfam family "Bacterial small subunit ribosomal RNA", at positions 53 to 505 of the family's 1533-position model. Lineage: Bacteria; Bacillati; Cyanobacteriota. The record is from RNAcentral.
ACAUGCAAGUCGAACGAACCUUCGGGUUAGUGGCGGACGGGUGAGUAACGCGUGAGAAUCUGCCCUCAGGAGGGGGAUAACGGUUGGAAACGACCGCUAAUACCCCAUAUGCCGCGAGGUGAAAUGAAUUUCGCCUGAGGAUGAGCUCGCGUCUGAUUAGCUAGUUGGUGGGGUAAAGGCCUACCAAGGCAUCGAUCAGUAGCUGGUCUGAGAGGAUGAUCAGCCACACUGGGACUGAGACACGGCCCAGACUCCUACGGGAGGCAGCAGUGGGGAAUUUUCCGCAAUGGGCGAAAGCCUGACGGAGCAACGCCGCGUGAGGGAUGAAGGCCUCUGGGCUGUAAACCUCUUUUAUCAAGGAAGAAGAUCUGACGGUACUUGAUGAAUAAGCCACGGCUAAUUCCG